CUGAUCCAGCCAUGCCGCGUGUGUGAAGAAGGCCUUUUGGUUGUAAAGCACUUUAAGCGAGGAGGAGGCUACCGAGAUUAAUACUCUUGGAUAGUGGACGUUACUCGCAGAAUAAGCACCGGCUAACUCUGUGCCAGCAGCCGCGGUAAUACAGAGGGUGCAAGCGUUAAUCGGAUUUACUGGGCGUAAAGCGCGCGUAGGUGGCCAAUUAAGUCAAAUGUGAAAUCCCCGAGCUUAACUUGGGAAUUGCAUUCGAUACUGGUUGGCUAGAGUAUGGGAGAGGAUGGUAGAAUUCCAGGUGUAGCGGUGAAAUGCGUAGAGAUCUGNGAGGAAUACCGAUGGCGAAGGCAGCCAUCUGGCCUAAUACUGACACUGAGGUGCGAAAGCAUGGGGAGCAAACAGGAUUAGAUACCCUGGUAGUCCAUGCCGUAAACGAUGUCUACUAGCCGUUGGGGCCUUUGAGGCUUUAGUGGCGCAGCUAACGCGAUAAGUAGACCGCCUGGGGAGUACGGUCGCAAGACUAAAACUCAAAUGAAUUGACGGGGGCCCGCACAAGCGGUGGAGCAUGUGGUUUAAUUCGAUGCAACGCGAAGAACCUUACCUGGUCUUGACAUAGUAAGAACUUUCCAGAGAUGGAUUGGUGCCUUCGGGAACUUACAUACAGGUGCUGCAUGGCUGUCGUCNAGCUNNCGUGUNCGNUGAGAUGUUGGGUUAAGUCCCGCAACGAGCGCAACCCUUUUCCUUAUUUGCCAGCGGGUUAAGCCGGGAACUUUAAGGAUACUGCCAGUGACAAACUGGAGGAAGGCGGGGACGACGUCAAGUCAUCAUGGCCCUUACGACCAGGGCUACACACGUGCUACAAUGGUCGGUACAAAGGGUUGCUACCUCGCGAGUGGAUGCUAAUCUCAAAAAGCCGAUCGUAGUCCGGAUUGGAGUCUGCAACUCGACUGCAUGAAGUCGGAAUCGCUAGUAAUCGCGGAUCAGAAUGCCGCGGUGAAUACGUUCCCGGGCCUUGUACACACCGCCCGUCACACCAUGGGAGUUUGUUGCACCAGAAGUAGGUAG
This 1065-nucleotide ribosomal RNA is filed under the name uncultured Acinetobacter sp. RNAcentral's name for it is "bacterial SSU rRNA". It matches the Rfam family "Bacterial small subunit ribosomal RNA", at positions 383 to 1433 of the family's 1533-position model. The record is from RNAcentral. Lineage: Bacteria; Pseudomonadati; Pseudomonadota; Gammaproteobacteria; Moraxellales; Moraxellaceae.